AGACAGACCGAUAACAAGAGAACAGCUGAUCGAUAAUUACUCCUCAGACUGAAGUUUAAACUUUAUUAAACUGUAUUUAGAGACAAAAACACAACAACAACGUUAAUAAACAAAUUUGACCUGUAAAAUAUAAAUAAUGUCUGGUGUUUAUGUAAAUAAAACCUUUAGUUUAUGUUGUGAUUCAAUUAUCAGUUAAAAUAAUAAAGGUAAAAUAAUAUUUAUUUAUAUUUAUUUAUUCUAUAUUUAGUAUAUAUUUAUAUUUAUUUAUAUAUUUAUAACCUAGCACCGCUGAGCUAACAUCAGCUAGCAGCCAUGAAGUCUGUUGACAGCUUCUUGUUUCCUGUUUUCAGGAGGAAGGAAACAGCAGAAGGAUUGUGUGUCCUCUUGACCCCAAACACACCGUGAGUAAAGACAAACUGGAGAAACACCUGAAGAAGUGUAACUCCAGAGAGAAACCCAAACCUGUUUAUUAUGUGGAGAAUAUAAACUCUGGAUCAGCUGAUGCAGACGAGACGCUGCAACAGGUGAGUCUGUCUGAACGCAGUCGGACACAGUUGGAGUCUCUGCUGGACAAACUGAAAACUGCAGUCAGAGGUGAGGAAUGUCCUGUGAGUCAUAAACUGUAGUUGUUGAUGUUGUUGAUGAUGUUGUUGAUGUUGUUGUUGUUGUUGUUGUUGUUCUG
Morone saxatilis (striped sea-bass) is the source of this 682-nucleotide long non-coding RNA. RefSeq lists it as uncharacterized. The transcript has 4 exons. The record is from RefSeq and is a predicted model, not a curated record. NCBI's taxonomy places the organism in Eukaryota, Metazoa, Chordata, Actinopteri, Moronidae.